UAAGUUGCCUUUGUAAUUACG
This 21-nucleotide non-coding RNA is filed under the name Arabidopsis thaliana (thale cress). Lineage: Eukaryota; Viridiplantae; Streptophyta; Magnoliopsida; Brassicales; Brassicaceae. The record is from RNAcentral.